GAAUUGUAGUCUGGAGAAGCGUCCU
This 25-nucleotide non-coding RNA is filed under the name Arabidopsis thaliana (thale cress). The record is from RNAcentral. RNAcentral also lists the same sequence under 1 other name. Lineage: Eukaryota; Viridiplantae; Streptophyta; Magnoliopsida; Brassicales; Brassicaceae.